RNAcentral lists this long non-coding RNA (520 nucleotides) under Cucumis sativus (cucumber). RNAcentral describes it as "long non-coding RNA (CSAT_LNC001468)". Lineage: Eukaryota; Viridiplantae; Streptophyta; Magnoliopsida; Cucurbitales; Cucurbitaceae. The record is from RNAcentral.
CCCUAAACAACAACAAUGCAUUCUCCCAACCUCCUCCUCCUCCUCCUCCUCCUCUUCUUCUUCACUGUUUCAUAUGCAGAACUUUGCCAUCCAAAUGACAAAAAGGUCCUCCUCAACAUCAAAAAAGCCUUCAACAAUCCCUACAUUCUUACCUCAUGGAAACCUGAAGAAGAUUGUUGCACUUGGUAUUGUGUUGAAUGUGAUCGGAAGUCCCAUCGGAUCAUUGCCCUCACCGUCUUUGCCGACGACAAACUCUCUGGCCCAAUCCCACCCUUUGUGGGUGACCUCCCGUUCCUCGAAAACCUCAUGUUCCACAAGCUCCCAAAUCUCAUUGGCCCCAUCCCACCUACCAUUGCAAAACUCAACAACCUCAAAUACCUUGACCUAAGCUGGAACGGUCUCUCUGGUCCUGUCCCCAGCUUCCUCGGCUCCCUUUCCAAUCUCGAUGUUCUCGACCUCUCCUUCAACCGUUUCACUGGCUCCAUCCCUAGCUCUCUUGCCAACCUCCGCCGCCUUGGAA